Molecule: ribosomal RNA, 253 nt
Filed under: uncultured bacterium
Lineage: Bacteria
Description: partial 16S ribosomal RNA
Rfam family: Bacterial small subunit ribosomal RNA
Source: RNAcentral
UACGGGGGGAGCAAGUGUUGUUCGGAUUUACUGGGCGUAAAGGGCGCGUAGGCGGCCUGCUAAGUCACACGUGAAAUCCCUCGGCUCAACCGGGGAACUGCGUGUGAUACUGGCGGGCUUGAAUUCGGGAGAGGGAUGUGAAAUUCCAGGUGUAGCGGUGAAAUGCGUAGAUAUCUGGAGGAACACCGGUGGCGAAGGCGGCAUCCUGGACCGAGAUUGACGCUGAGGCGCGAAAGCUAGGGUAGCAAACGGG